This is a small nuclear RNA of Sciurus vulgaris (Eurasian red squirrel), 106 nucleotides long. The record is from Ensembl. Lineage: Eukaryota; Metazoa; Chordata; Mammalia; Rodentia; Sciuridae.
GUUCUCUCUUCAGCAGUACAUAUCCUAAAAUUGGAAUAAUCAGAGAAGAUUAGCAUGGCCCCUGGGCAAGGAUGCCAUUCAGAUUCAUGAAAUGUUCCCUAUUUUG